Molecule: long non-coding RNA, 472 nt
Organism: Stomoxys calcitrans (stable fly)
Lineage: Eukaryota; Metazoa; Arthropoda; Insecta; Diptera; Muscidae
Exons: 3
Source: RefSeq, a predicted model, not a curated record
GAAGCUUCGCCAUUUUCACAAAAGCCAUAGCUGAAAUCGAGCAAAUAACCCUGAAAUCCGAAGCAUGGAGAGAGUAUCGUACACAUUAGCGAAGGGUACUAUAUGAGAGCACACAAAAUUUCGCUUAAAUCGCACCACCCAUCUCCGAGAUCUGGCGUUUCUGAAAACCAGGGUAAGGGGGAGGGUCCGCCCCCCUUAAGAUAUCAAAAAAUUUAGUACCCUAUUUUCACCACAGGGUCAAUAUGUACCAUCUGUGAAAAUUUCAAGAAAAUCAGUUCAGCCGUUUCUGAGUCUAUAAGGAACACACAAACACAAAUUGAUUUUUAUAUGUAAGAUAUAGAAUAGAAUAGACUGGGGCUGAGGAUGGAAGAUAACACAUGUGGCUUUAGAUUUCGUGGCAUUCCAAGCAAAAUGCUAAAAUUGGCAUUGUCGCCGACAACAAACAGAGGCUCAAAAUGGAAUCGACAAUUUU